This 376-nucleotide ribosomal RNA is filed under the name uncultured bacterium. RNAcentral describes it as "bacterial SSU rRNA". It matches the Rfam family "Bacterial small subunit ribosomal RNA", at positions 524 to 898 of the family's 1533-position model. The record is from RNAcentral.
GACGUAGGGUGCAAGCGUUGUCCGGAUUUACUGGGCGUAAAGGGUGCGUAGGUGGUUUAUUAAGUUAUCUGUGAAAUCCCCGGGCUCAACCUGGGCAUGCCAGAUAAGACUGAUAGACUAGAGUAUGGGAGAGGGUAGUGGAAUUUCCGGUGUAGCGGUGAAAUGCGUAGAGAUCGGAAGGAACACCAGUGGCGAAGGCGGCUACCUGGCCUAAUACUGACACUGAGGCACGAAAGCGUGGGGAGCAAACAGGAUUAGAUACCCUGGUAGUCCACGCUGUAAACGAUGUCAACUAGCUGUUGGUUACAUUAAAGUAAUUAGUAGCGCAGCAAACGCGAUAAGUUGACCGCCUGGGGAGUACGGCCGCAAGGUUAAA